Molecule: ribosomal RNA, 472 nt
Filed under: Cellana nigrlineata
Lineage: Eukaryota; Metazoa; Mollusca; Gastropoda; Nacellidae
Description: bacterial SSU rRNA
Rfam family: Eukaryotic small subunit ribosomal RNA
Source: RNAcentral
UAUGUUCAGACUCGUCCUUUCGGGGAGCGCGAUCGACAUGUGAACGGCUCAUUAGCAGACGAGGUUCCUUGGUUCCUAUCGGGUCCGUAAAAUGGWUAACUGUGGUAAUUCUAGAGMUAAUACAUGCUACGCACGCAACCCCGCUCGAAGGGGUGCAGGUAUUUAUUCUCUACAAUGACGGCCCGAGCUCUUCAAUUGAAUUUUKAAUUCAGGAGAGUGCCGUGGGUAAGUGUUGAAAUCUGAUUAACUUUGUCGAUCACGCAAGUGACUCCAUCAUGAAGUGUCUGUCCCAUCAAUUGACGAUGGUCGGCGCCCUGCCUACCACGGUGACGACGGGUAACGGGGAAUCAGGGUUCGAUUCCGGAGAGGGAGCCUGCGAAACGGCUACCACCUCCAAGGAGGGCAGCAGGCGCGCAACUUACCCAAUCCCGACUCGGGGAGGUAGUGACGAAAAAUAUCGCGGCGGGAYUGU